CGCCCGCCUUCGGAGGUACGCGCGCUUAUGUCUGCGCAGUGCUGUUUUCCUGCUCUGGGGGAGAAGGGAGAUCGACCGCCUGGAGUAGGCCGGCAUGUAGAGAAAAGGAGAUGGCGCCUGGGACGAGGGACUGCCAUUUCUUCAAUGCUGGUGUCUGAAGAAUGAUUUCAUGGGAGAAAAGCAAAUUUCCAACACGUGCACCAACAACUUCCAUAUGUUUGGGGGCAGUGAAUAAGUAGCAAGUCAUUCUGUUAACCAACUCCAAUCAAGAUUCUAAAAUCAGGCAUGAAAAAGUUACAGUUAGAUGUUGACUAUAAGCAGUAGGUUUAGGGGUGUUACUUUUUGCAAGUUUUCUAUGUGUUUGGACAUUUUAUAAUCAAAAGUUGAAAAAUCGAAAGUAUAAGUUACAAUUAGAAAGUUUAGUUUUACCUUCUUUCCUGGUGAUUAAUAAAAUAUUUCAAAGAGUUUUCAUAAAUAUUUGAAGUAAAUAAUUUGUGAAAGGAAAUUCAAACAGUUGACCUUGAGACUAACUGUAGUAAAGUUAAUUCAGUAAACAUUUUAUUGUGGUUUCUCCAAGUUUUAACAAAUCAGUAAUUGACAGUAACCAAAUCUUAAUACUUCUAUUAAUUACAACUGUAUUAACAUUCAUUUUGCAUACAGUAGUUACUAGAUUUGAAUUACAGUACAAAUCCUGUCCCAUCUUAUUGGAAAAAAUUGAUUACUGAACCAAAAAAGUACAAACCAUUCAAUUUCAGUGGUCACACUGCAAAAAAAGUUCACCCUUCAUUUAAUUUGACCAAAUACGCUACUGUUGAAGACUAUCGAUGACAUAAUCCCAGUAUAUCCGUGAGUAAGAAACGAUAGGAAUUUGAGGUCGAGGAUAUAACUCAAAUGUUCUUUGUCUUUCUUGAGUUCUUCUCUUCCCCAUAUGCAUCCCAAAUGCCAGAUGAGACUAGCAUGGAAAGUUAAAAACCUUUGUACCCAACAAACCUAAAACACCCAUACCAUAUACAACUUACCAUUAUUCUACUGCCCUGUUCCUCAAUUGCUUCAUGAAUAAUAGUGCUUAAAUGGCCAAGACAGUUCAAAUUUUCUUCUAUCAUUUGUGCUAUAGUCUCCCUGUAUGAUGAAAAAACAAAACCUUUUCAAAUGCAGCAAAGGGACAAAUGAAUUUACUCUUAUCUUCUGGUCUUCAGGGUCAGAAUGAUCACUGCCCUUCCCACAGCGCUGCAAGCCAGCACCCCCGUGCAGCUGAUUCCUAGGGUCUUCAAGUUUCCUCUUCCCUCCCACCCAGAGGCAGAGUCCUACUUGUUACGUCAAACUAUUGCCUCUACCCAGCUCAAAUGAUAAGAAGUCCACUGGAAGUACAAACUCACUUUCCUCUGAAAUGUAAGUGGCAUGUACAUACAUUUCCCCCUCUGAAAAUGCUUGCUGGGAGGUGGGGGAAAUAACUGUAGCACAGAGACAUGAAAGAUCUCUUUGUUUCUGGACUAUUUCUCUUUCCUUCUAAGUUGUAACAACAUCAGUAUGUUUACUUCAGAGACAGAAAUGCAGGGGUGAAGAUAAAAAAGUACAAUCUGGUCUGCAAAGAUGAGGGAAGGUAAAAACUCUGGUUGGAAACUAUAGAUGAUAGCCAUGAAAAAGAAAACAAGCAAGCUGAUUCCUAAGGACAGCAGAAGAAAAUAGCAUCACAGGGGAGCUGCCCAGAACCAACAAGUAUCCCUGGAAGUUUAUAUUUGAAGGAAAUCCUGAUUCUGGUUUCCACCUUCCCCACUUCCCUCUGCCUUAUGCCUCUAUCCUUUACCUUUUUCCAAUCCUCUGUUUCUACCUCACUAGGCCAUGGAUGGUAGCCACUAUAAGCUCAGAACUAAAUUCUAAUUUAGCUCACAUUCAAAAGAUGGAAAAAUUGAGGUCAACAGAUUCUAAUCCUUGGUGGUUAAGUACAUUAUCAUCGAAAUCAAUUUUUUACUUCAUAAUGUAUUCCUACUGGAAAACAUAUUUAAAAUUUCUAUAUGACAUGCUUUUGCUAACAACCACAACCUCAAAUUAGAAAUUACCUGUAUAGAGAUGACAUUUGCAACCAUUAGCAUCCCCUAACAAACCUAAAUGCCUUUAAUAAAAGCAAAAAGGUCAGUAAUGUAUUGAAUUGUAUUUGUUUCAACUCCAAUUAGUGGAAUAUUUCCUAAAGCCAAUUGAAUUACAGCCUGUGCUGUAUCUGUGGCUGUAUUACAUUGGGCCAAAUCUCAAAUGAUCCCAAGAUAUACCUUACAACUUGCUUUCUUUAAAAAUAAAUAAAUAAAUAAAUAAA
Mustela lutreola (European mink) is the source of this 2308-nucleotide long non-coding RNA. RefSeq lists it as uncharacterized. The record is from RefSeq and is a predicted model, not a curated record. NCBI's taxonomy places the organism in Eukaryota, Metazoa, Chordata, Mammalia, Carnivora, Mustelidae. The transcript is spliced from 2 exons.